CCUACUGUGGCAGUGGUUGGUGAAAGAUUGUGGCUGGAAUCUGAUCAACAGGUCCAGAGGGUCUCCAAAUGGAAUAUCAGAUGCUCAGGUGGGAAUUGCACACUGGGGUCUGGUAUCCACUACUUUCUCCCUGGCCCAGUCUGGUGGAGUUUCCUCUGCCUUAUUAGCAUUGCACUGAUUCAGCUGACUGUGUGAAGUGCUGAGUGCUAAUCUCUGGGGUAAAUGAGGAGGCAAACGUGGAUCCCAGCCUUCUCAGUUUGUGUGCUGACUGAAAACAGGAAGAUCAUACGUGAGCAAGGACCACAUUGCUCACUGCGUCACGUUUGAUAUGCUGUCUGACCUGCUGAGAAUCACCAGCAUUGUUUGACUGCAGAUUUCCGUUACUUGUGUUCUUUUCUGGUCUCCACCUCCUUGGUUCUACAAUUUCUGAGGAAUGAAAAAGUCUCACAAGCAAGAUGCACUCACUCACGUAUCACAUCUUCAGUUAUCACAACUGCAUCAUUCAGCACCAGCAGACAAGUAAAAACAAACACACAUAUCAGCCAAGUCCCUACAGCACAAGUAUUCAUUUCAUUUUCGAAUUAAACAGGAUUACCACUAUUCUUAAAGGAAUGUUGCUUCUUUAAUGAUUAACAUGUACCUGAAUUGUGCGCACCAUAAUCACUAGAAAGAGGUACAAACCUGUUAACUCUGAGCUAAAGCUGAAUGCAACUGGCUUUUAAACUUUUAAACUGCAUUUCCUUUGAUGCACAAUCCGUUAUUCCCUUGCACCAGUCCCACCCAGAGUGCCCCGCCUGUGUCUGGGUACAAUAAACAUACACCACAUCAAGCUCUGACUUCUGACAGCACUGUUCUUUAAGCUCAAAAGAAUAGGGAAACCACAGAGGACAAAAACAACAUCAACACAGAUCUCCUUGGGGAGGUUCUGGCAUUUCCACUAAAAAUGCUCCAACAAACAAACAGGAGAUUCCCAAAGUUAACGGUGAUUCUACACACUCAAUUUAACAAUGAGGGUUCAAACAAAUGGAAGUAAGCAGCACCUGUUCACCCCCCUCCCUGCCACUAGUAAACCCUCUACCACAGCACUUCCUGAGUACCCAACAAAGCUUGCAUCCACGUAAAAUCUUAGAGAUUUUGGAUCAGAAAUAUCCCAGCUCAGUAAUACGCCAUUUCUCCCACUUCCCACUGUCCUAUAAUCUACCCAUGUUACCAAUGGCAAACCACUUCUGUAGAAAAACUUGCCAAAAACUAUCAUGGUCCACCAUGACCACCCAAAUACCAGCCCACCAUGACUCUAACCUUUCCUAUCAGAAUCACUGAUAAUAAUCUCCUGUGUCUUUCAUGCCUCUUGUGCCCUGGUAAGUGUCCACAUUCUACCUACAAACUCACAGACCCUCUUCCAUCCUGUCAUUGUCCACUGUGUCUCCCUCCCUCCAUUCACAAGCCAUCCUGUCAUUUACUGGCCCCAGCGCUCUAAUCCAUCAACGUUGUCACCAUUACCACCUCCAGCUUCCGUUAAGUGCUUUCACUUCCCAGGGUAUCCUUGCCCUCUUGCAGCCUGCAAUCACUCACCUCUGGCCCCGAUCCAGCCCCACCCUAAUCACUAAGGCUCCUACCAUAUCCCGUAAUCGCAGCCCUUACCCUCAUUCCCUGGGCACUCCCAGGCAGCUCAUUCCACUAACACUCAAACCUGGCUCCCAGGAUACACCCAAUACCACUCCACCCAUCCUUUGUGACAAGCUGGUCUCUCAAUAUUCCCUAAUGCUCACAUUCCACCCAAUCUGCAAUCUUCACUGCUACCUAAAACCCACUGCCAAUUCAGUAAACCCCUAUAAUCUAAUUAACCAUCACCCUUUCCCACCAAGUCCUGUCAUCUUUAACUCAUCCCAACCCCAA
Molecule: long non-coding RNA, 1896 nt
Organism: Hypanus sabinus (Atlantic stingray)
Lineage: Eukaryota; Metazoa; Chordata; Chondrichthyes; Myliobatiformes; Dasyatidae
Exons: 3
Source: RefSeq, a predicted model, not a curated record